GAAUUGGGGAGCGGUGGAUGGGUGUUGGAUAUAUUUGGAAGAUGGGUGCAACAGGAUUUCCUGACUAUUAGAAUGUGAGAUGCAAGACAAAGAGAGGCCUUGAGGAUGACUUUAAGGACUUUGCCUCGAGCAAGCAAACAUUGGGCUUGGUAACAGCUGAGGUGGGGAGGCUGUGAGUGGAGCAGUUUUGGUGUUGGAAGAUUAUGCAGCCAGCUUGGGCAUUGUGAGGUUUGAGGUGCCCCUAGGACAUUCAACUGGAACCAGUUACAUCAUUUGGGGAUUAACUCAGCAAGAAAGCAGUGAAUCCAAGUGGCUCCAGAAUACCAAGACCCCUCCCUCCCAAUUUCUGCAGAGUACACUCUCUUACCACUUUCUACAUGGGAAGAGGUCUUCAAAGUUCUGGCUCUUAGAAGUCCCUGCUUCACCAAGAAUUUUGCUACUAUCGUCUCACACCAGCUUGUUUUGUGAGGCUCUCGUGGGGUGGGUUAGGAGGAGAGAUGUCUGUUCCCUUUCAAGGGUGCUGACUGCUCCCAUCUUCCCAAGCUCUGGCUGCCUGGCCUGUCACCCUUCUGUGGUGGUUUUAAUGCACCAGCCCUGUUGUGUUUUCUUGAAGCUGGCCAGGGAGACACCUGGCAGGGAAGAGGGGAGAACUUCACAGUGAGCUUUCCAGAGCCUGAGGAUGCUGGGUCUACUUUCUACUAGUGAGCACAAUGUGACUUAACCUGAAUGAGUCCAUCCCCUCACCUGUAAAAUGGGGUAACAUGAGCCAGAGAUAAUAUUUGGAAAUACCAACUUAGUAUUAUUUUUCUCCCAACAUCUCUCUCCCUUGCUCUUCCUCCCUCGUAAGAAGGGCAAACUAUAGAGAAUUCUACAAAUCUUUUGUCUUCCCCAAACUUAGGACCUAGGACAAGUGAAUUGUAACCCUCAAAGAGAAGCAAAAGGCUAACCAUGUUUUACAGGGAUUUGAGGGGAGUAGGAGCACUCCUACCUUCUCAUCACGAGGAUGAGAGCCUCUUGGGCUUUGUAGGUAGGUGGGGGAGGAGAGACUUAUCCCUAGGUCUGGGGGGUAGAUGAGACAGUCCCUGGCUUCCCCCAAACCCUGCUGGAAGGUGGUAAAAAUCUAAAGAGGAUAUGGCUGUGUGAUGUUGGCAGAUGGGCAAAAGCUGCCCCUGUGCCUGGCAUGAGGUGGGAGCAGCUGUGAGCCUCCAGUACUAACAGGUCAUGUAAGAUGGGAGGACGAGUCCCUCAGUGGCCACCUGUGUGGAUGGGUGACAGACAACCAGGUGCCACCCCCACCACCAGGCUUGGGUGCUGUGUCUGAUCCAGAACUAUGGCAUAAUAGGGUGGGGGUGGAAAGGAGAAAUCCCAGAGGCCCUGAAAAAUAGGAGUUCAGUAAUUCAGAUGGCUUACAGAAAAUGAAGACAUUGCUUGUAUCUCAGAAUUCGUGGACUGAGAUCCAUCCCUGUACAAAAGGAGGGCAUCAAGAGGGUCUCCAGGAGUAGACAACAACCGAACCACAGUGAUAAAAUGAAAGGGUCUCCAUGCCCAGCUUGGAGCCCAACACAGGGCUUGAACUCACGACCUGAGAUGGAGAUGUGAGCUGAGAGUUGGCCGCUUAACUGACUGAGCCAUCCAGACCUUUGGCCUUAGCGACCCCUCUCAGGCGCUGGUGGUUGACCGUGCAUGCGUGGAUGGUGUGCGCUUGCGAGGGAGCUGACGCUGAAACGGUCCCGAUCACGCCUGGAGAAAGUGCUUCUGUCUGAGCCGUGCCUGACACCACGACCCAGUCUUUUCUGGGUUUAAAGGGCCUUCGGAAAAGCAGCCAAUUUAAAGUGCAGGGCCGCUGUCAGAGCUUUCAGAGGGUGCCCCCUGCCUUCCCCCCUGUCUUGGAGCAAGGGAGGUUUCUCCAUCCUCACGUCCUGGAGAGAGAGGUUCUUGGGCUUAGCCCUGUGUUUCUCUACCAGCUUCCUCUGACCUCCGUCUGGACCCUUCCUGGCCUGGCAUCUGCUCCUGGGCAUGUCAGCUACUGACACAUCACGGUGGUGUACCUGGGGCUUUGCUGUCUUGGUACCUUCAGGGCUUGGCUGUCCUCCCUCAUUGACUCAACCCCGUGUCAGACCUCACUGAACGUCAGCCAUGUCCUCCAUCUGGUCACUUGGCCAUUGGAGGGCCACCCAAGGUGGCUCCAUCCUAUGCCCCUUCCCUGAGGCAAUAAACCUCAUGCCUUAUCUACCAUGCCGGUGGAAAGAGAAGACUUUUGCUUAUUGAGAAGGGAGCAGAUACUACCAAUCUAUCACAUUGCAUAGCCUUGGAAACCUUCUUAGCAGUGUUCCAGACAGCCAGGGACAAUCAACAAUCAACAAGAGCUGGCCUUGGAAAUAUGGACACUUUUCAAUCACUGGUAUAGAGUUAAGCUCGAGGAAGGUAGGGACAACAUGCAGUAUCUAGAUCUCACAACCAAAUAGGCAAUGUAAGUUUUACGUUUGAGAACUAUAUCAUCAGAAAUCACUUUAAGGUAUGAAAUCAUUACCACAUCCCCACAAAAUAAUCAUUCAGCCUCUGCUUGUAUAACUCUAGUGAUGGGGAGCUCACUGCCUCUUAACAGUGAAUUGCAUUUUUAGACUAUUCUAAGUAGUAGAAAGGGAUUCAGUAUGGUUGUUCUGAAACCUGCUCCUUGCAACUGGCUCCUACACAUAACAUAUUUCAUUCCCAUCCACACUGUUGGCUCCUCAUCUGUUCGAAGGCAGCCACCAUAGUCCCCAUUAGUGUC
This is a long non-coding RNA of Canis lupus familiaris (dog), 2770 nucleotides long. RefSeq lists it as uncharacterized. The transcript is spliced from 6 exons. Lineage: Eukaryota; Metazoa; Chordata; Mammalia; Carnivora; Canidae. The record is from RefSeq and is a predicted model, not a curated record.